This 437-nucleotide ribosomal RNA is filed under the name uncultured bacterium. Its description in RNAcentral is "partial 16S ribosomal RNA". It matches the Rfam family "Bacterial small subunit ribosomal RNA", at positions 29 to 507 of the family's 1533-position model. The record is from RNAcentral.
AGCGAACGCUGGCGGCAGGCUUAACACAUGCAAGUCGAGCGGGCAUCCUUGUGGUGUCAGCGGCAGACGGGUGAGUAACGCGUGGGAACGUGCCCUUCGGUUCGGAAUAACUCAGGGAAACUUGAGCUAAUACCGGAUACGUGCGAGAGCAGAAAGGUUUAUCUGCCAAAGGAUCGGCCCGCGUCUGAUUAGCUAGUUGGUGAGGUUAUGGCUCACCAAGGCGACGAUCAGUAGCUGGUCUGAGAGGAUGAUCAGCCACACUGGGACUGAGACACGGCCCAGACUCCUACGGGAGGCAGCAGUGGGGAAUAUUGGACAAUGGGGGCAACCCUGAUCCAGCCAUGCCGCGUGAGUGAUGACGGCCUUAGGGUUGUAAAGCUCUUUUCUCCGGGACGAUAAUGACGGUACCGGAGGAAUAAGCCCCGGCUAACUUCGUG